Molecule: long non-coding RNA, 1522 nt
Filed under: Equus asinus (donkey)
Lineage: Eukaryota; Metazoa; Chordata; Mammalia; Perissodactyla; Equidae
Description: lncRNA (ENSEASG00005034262.1)
Source: RNAcentral
CCAUCUUCCGUCCUUGUCUAAAGGGGGGUUGAAGCGUCUCCCUUUGGCCAUUUCCUGCAGGAAGCUGAAGGUGGCUGAGGCUGGCUCCCUUACCUCUCCAUUGCCUCAUAAGCUCUACACAUCUGGGAAGCCACUCCUCCUCCUUGUUCCUGAUCUUUAAUUCUCAGCCUCUACCAGGAGGGACUCCAGGAGUGCCCACGGUUGUCAUGGAAUCAGAGCCCCCAUCACAGUGGGGAGCAGUGCAGGUCUUCUAGCCCCCUGAGUCAUAGAAUCAGAGCCCCCAUCACAAUGGGGAGGAGUGCGGAUCUUCUAGCCCUCUGAGGGUCCCUGCUACUGGUGCCUUGCACUGCUGCUCCCCAGUGUAUGAGGCAGACGGCCACCAGGUCCCAGCUGAGGAAGCCCCACAAACAGGUCACACAGCACUGAUGGCUCAGAGAGGUGGGCUCCUGGAUGUGAUGCCUGCGGUGGAGCAGUCUUCUUGCAACCAUGAGGCCAAAAGUCACACGACUGUAAUCAGCUCCCCCACAAGGUCAUUCUGGAACACCAAGGACAGCGCAGACCCCUCCUGGCUCUCCUCAGUAAUGGAUGGAGGCAAUGGUGCAGAUAAUCCAGCCAAAUGAGGCCACUUGGCUCUGCCUGGUCUGUGCCCCGUUCCAGACAGGUGGCAUCAUGUACAUCCCAUCUGGAUGUCCGUCUGGAGUUGGAGGCCGGUCUGUCUGCUCCCUGUGGUCCUCUGGGACGAUAAGCUCCUCCAGAGAUGGUCAGCUGCUCUUGGAAAUGAAGAUUUUAAGCCAAACAACUACUCCUCUUCUCCCCACUCUGACAUCACCAGCAAGAGGGCAGAGGCUUAACCUCAGAGAAGGUGAACCUGAAUGUCUUCACAGGAAGCUAUUGAAAGAUGUGCUUCUAACAACAAGGAUGGGAUGCAGGAAACAGUAGGAGAAAGAAGGGAAGUCUCAGGAUGGUGGAAGAGGAAAGCCACAGGAUGCAGUGGUACAAGGGAACACUCACUCCAGACUGGAGCAGGAGGGCACUGGGCUUCUGGAAAAAGAGGAAAAAGAGGAAAGACUAAAACAAAACAAAAAUCACGCCUGUGCUGCUCAACGAGUAAGCAGAGCAUUAAGGAGAACGUCAUGAUGAUACAUAGAAAACCUGGCAAACGUAAAGUUGAUGCCAUUGUUAACUCCAGAAAAAUGUGGUGAGUAUUUCAGAAAAGAGACAAGCGACUAGAGCACAUCUGGCUCAGCAGUUGACAAUAUUUGUAAAGUUACAAUAAAGAAAACACUUGUUUUUCAUUCAGCAAAAACUACAUGGGGUGGGGAUGGGGAGUGUGUAUACAGAAAGGUAGGAAGUUGGAUAUAAUUAAGUCUUCAUCUGUCUGACUUACCAUGUCUGGAAAUCACAAGAUAAUUUAAAAAACUCAUAAAUCAAGAAAUAGCUGCCCCAAACAAUUGAAAGCAGAAGCUCAGACAGAUAUUUGUACAUCAAUGUUUAUAGCAGCAUUACUCACACAGCCAAACGG